GAAGGGGGUCGCCGGCCCUCCGCUGCGCGUCGGGCCGAACAACGCCCCUUAACAGUGGUAUAAUGAGCACAUACCACAGCCUGUCCUGAUCUAUUGCUUAACUAUACUUAUCAUAGGUAGACAGCUAACUAACAUGUUCAUAAAAUCAUCAUAAAACAUUGUUUUUUUCAUGCUGUAGGUAAACUUUGAUAACUUUGACGGAAUCCUGUCAUUUGUCCACGUGAACAAAAAUCACUGGAACAUGCUGUACAUUCAUGCAAAGUCUGGUACUGUGUACCAAAUGGAUCCCUCACCAGCAUCCUCUGAGCUUGAGGACUCUACCCAUGCGGCUCAGAGACUACAGGAAUACUUGAAGAUUAGAAAAUAUCAGGGGAAAACUGACUGGGUGGAUGUGAAGUGGAAAGGAGGAGUGAUGCCCCACCCAGUGCAAAGGGAUGGUUGCAGCUGUGGUGUCAUUGUUGUUGAAAUGGCCAGAGCAGUGAUGGAAGCCUUCCCUGAGUUCCCCAAAAUGAACUUCUCAACAAAAAGGAGAGCCAUGGAAGAGGCGAG
Long non-coding RNA from Gadus macrocephalus (Pacific cod), 549 nucleotides. RefSeq lists it as uncharacterized. The record is from RefSeq and is a predicted model, not a curated record. NCBI's taxonomy places the organism in Eukaryota, Metazoa, Chordata, Actinopteri, Gadiformes, Gadidae. The transcript has 4 exons.